This 71-nucleotide transfer RNA is filed under the name Phrynosoma platyrhinos (Desert horned lizard). Its description in RNAcentral is "tRNA-OTHER". The record is from RNAcentral. Lineage: Eukaryota; Metazoa; Chordata; Lepidosauria; Squamata; Phrynosomatidae.
GCCAGUGUGGUGUAGUGGUUUGAGUGUCGGACUGUGACUCUGGAGAUCAGGUUUGAUUUCCUGCUCAGCCA